RNAcentral lists this ribosomal RNA (3003 nucleotides) under Salmonella enterica subsp. arizonae. RNAcentral describes it as "bacterial LSU rRNA". It matches the Rfam family "Bacterial large subunit ribosomal RNA". The record is from RNAcentral. Lineage: Bacteria; Pseudomonadati; Pseudomonadota; Gammaproteobacteria; Enterobacterales; Enterobacteriaceae.
UUAAGCGACCAAGCGUACACGGUGGAUGCCCUGGCAGUCAGAGGCGAUGAAGGACGUGCUAAUCUGCGAAAAGCGCCGGUAAGGUGAUAUGAACCGUUAUAACCGGCGAUGUCCGAAUGGGGAAACCCAGUGUGACUCGUCACACUAUCAUUAACUGAAUCCAUAGGUUAAUGAGGCGAACCGGGGGAACUGAAACAUCUAAGUACCCCGAGGAAAAGAAAUCAACCGAGAUUCCCCCAGUAGCGGCGAGCGAACGGGGAGCAGCCCAGAGCCUGAAUCAGCAUAUGUGUUAGUGGAAGCGUCUGGAAAGGCGCGCGAUACAGGGUGACAGCCCCGUACACAAAAGCGCAUGUGCUGUGAGCUCGAUGAGUAGGGCGGGACACGUGGUAUCCUGUCUGAAUAUGGGGGGGACCAUCCUCCAAGGCUAAAUACUCCUGACUGACCGAUAGUGAACCAGUACCGUGAGGGAAAGGCGAAAAGAACCCCGGCGAGGGGAGUGAAACAGAACCUGAAACCGUGUACGUACAAGCAGUGGGAGCCCCACCACUAAGCCAGUGGUGAACUCCACAUACGCAUCCUUUGCGGAAGAUGCGGUUAACGGAGCGAAAGCGACGUUCAACCUAAAAAGAAGCAGAGGGGGCUUAGUGGUGGGGUGACUGCGUACCUUUUGUAUAAUGGGUCAGCGACUUAUAUUCUGUAGCAAGGUUAACCGAAUAGGGGAGCCGGAGGGAAACCGAGUCUUAAUUGGGCGUUAAGUUGCAGGGUAUAGACCCGAAACCCGGUGAUCUAGCCAUGGGCAGGUUGAAGGUUGGGUAACACUAACUGGAGGACCGAACCGACUAAUGUUGAAAAAUUAGCGGAUGACCUGUGGCUGGGGGUGAAAGGCCAAUCAAACCGGGAGAUAGCUGGUUCUCCCCGAAAGCUAUUUAGGUAGCGCCUCGUGAAUUCAUCUCCGGGGGUAGAGCACUGUUUCGGCCAGGGGGCCAUCCCGGCUUACCAACCCGAUGCAAACUGCGAAUACCGGAGAAUGUUAUCACGGGAGACACACGGCGGGUGCUAACGUCCGUCGUGAAGAGGGAAACAACCCAGACCGCCAGCUAAGGUCCCAAAGUCAUGGUUAAGUGGGAAACGAUGUGGGAAGGCCCAGACAGCCAGGAUGUUGGCUUAGAAGCAGCCAUCAUUUAAAGAAAGCGUAAUAGCUCACUGGUCGAGUCGGCCUGCGCGGAAGAUGUAACGGGGCUAAACCAUGCACCGAAGCUGCGGCAGCGACACUGUGUGUCGUUGGGUAGGGGAGCGUUCUGUAAGCCUGCGAAGGUGGCCUGUGAGGGUUGCUGGAGGUAUCAGAAGUGCGAAUGCUGACAUAAGUAACGAUAAUGCGGGUGAAAAACCCGCACGCCGGAAGACCAAGGGUUCCUGUCCAACGUUAAUCGGGGCAGGGUGAGUCGACCCCUAAGGCGAGGCCGAAAGGCGUAGUCGAUGGGAAACGGGUUAAUAUUCCCGUACCUGGUGUUACUGCGAAGGGGGGACGGAGAAGGCUAUGUUGGCCGGGCGACGGUUGUCCCGGUUUAAGCGUGCAGGCUGGUUUUCCAGGCAAAUCCGGAAAAUCAAGGCUGAGGCGUGAUGACGAGGCACUACGGUGCUGAAGCAACAAAUGCCCUGCUUCCAGGAAAAGCCUCUAAGCCUCAGGUAACAUCAGAUCGUACCCGAAACCGACACAGGUGGUCAGGUAGAGAAUACCAAGGCGCUUGAGAGAACCCGGGUGAAGGAACUAGGCAAAAUGGUGCCGUAACUUCGGGAGAAGGCACGCUGACAUGUAAGUGAAGCGGUUUACCCGUGGAGCUGAAGUCAGUCGAAGAUACCAGCUGGCUGCAACUGUUUAUUAAAAACACAGCACUGUGCAAACACGAAAGUGGACGUAUACGGUGUGACGCCUGCCCGGUGCCGGAAGGUUAAUUGAUGGGGUCAGCGCAAGCGAAGCUCCUGAUCGAAGCCCCGGUAAACGGCGGCCGUAACUAUAACGGUCCUAAGGUAGCGAAAUUCCUUGUCGGGUAAGUUCCGACCUGCACGAAUGGCGUAAUGAUGGCCAGGCUGUCUCCACCCGGGACUCAGUGAAAUUGAACUCGCUGUGAAGAUGCAGUGUACCCGCGGCAAGACGGAAAGACCCCGUGAACCUUUACUAUAGCUUGACACUGAACACUGGUCCUUGAUGUGCAGGAUAGGUGGGAGGCUUUGAAGUGUGGACGCCAGUCUGCAUGGAGCCGUCCUUGAAAUACCACCCUUUAAUGGCUGGUGUUCUAACGUAGACCCGUGAACCGGGUUGCGGACAGUGUCUGGUGGGUAGUUUGACUGGGGCGGUCUCCUCCUAAAGCGUAACGGAGGAGCACGAAGGUUGGCUAAUCCUGGUCGGACAUCAGGAGGUUAGUGCAAUGGCAUAAGCCAGCUUGACUGCGAGCGUGACGGCGCGAGCAGGUGCGAAAGCAGGUCAUAGUGAUCCGGUGGUUCUGAAUGGAAGGGCCAUCGCUCAACGGAUAAAAGGUACUCCGGGGAUAACAGGCUGAUACCGCCCAAGAGUUCAUAUCGACGGCGGUGUUUGGCACCUCGAUGUCGGCUCAUCACAUCCUGGGGCUGAAGUAGGUCCCAAGGGUAUGGCUGUUCGCCAUUUAAAGUGGUACGCGAGCUGGGUUUAGAACGUCGUGAGACAGUUCGGUCCCUAUCUGCCGUGGGCGCUGGAGAACUGAGGGGGGCUGCUCCUAGUACGAGAGGACCGGAGUGGACGCAUCACUGGUGUUCGGGUUGUCAUGCCAAUGGCACUGCCCGGUAGCUAAAUGCGGAAGAGAUAAGUGCUGAAAGCAUCUAAGCACGAAACUUGCCCCGAGAUGAGUUCUCCCUGAGACUACAAGUCUCCUGAAGGAACGUUGAAGACGACGACGUUGAUAGGCCGGGUGUGUAAGCGCAGCGAUGCGUUGAGCUAACCGGUACUAAUGAACCGUGAGGCUUAACCUU